This 1484-nucleotide long non-coding RNA is filed under the name Trifolium pratense (red clover). RNAcentral's name for it is "long non-coding RNA (TPRA_LNC002350)". Lineage: Eukaryota; Viridiplantae; Streptophyta; Magnoliopsida; Fabales; Fabaceae. The record is from RNAcentral.
UAAUGCUAAGAAGUUUUGUUGAAGAUCUAUAUAAGUGCAAAUAAUUGAAACAAAUAAACAAGACAUAGUAGUUUCAUUACAUAAAGUGACCAAUACAUUUGCAAAUUUUGAAGAAAAAAUAUGGCUGAAAUUUUAAAGUUUAUUUAUUUAAUAAUUCUCUUCAUUUCCUUAUUUCUUGUUGUAACUGACGUUACUGGUAAAUAAAUUUUGUACUCUUUUGAAUUUUUUUAUUUAUCUUAUAUACUACAAAAUAACUCACCUCUUUCAGGAACUUUUUUUUUAUUACAGCAGCAAGGGUCUUGGUAAACUGCAAGGAUACAAUUGAUUGUUCCCGGUGGUUUUGUAAAUCUCCUUUAGUUCCAAAAUGCAUUUCUUUUAAAUGCAAGUGUGUGGAAAUAAAAGUAAACUCGGUCGAUUGGGCUGAAUUUUCACUAUAGUACAAUAGUAGUUACUAUAGUGAUUAUUCUUGAACUUACAACUUGAGGCUUCUAGUGUCCAAAUAAAAUAUCAUAGUGUUUCAGCUACUAAUUAUUUUCCAUAUUUAUGUGCAACUUUUGUUUUCUAACUUUCCUGGAGUAUUUCGUAGGCUCUAAAAUGAGUUAUUUCAAUAAAAAUUUGUUGAUUAAAAAAAGUAUGAAUAGAUAGAGAAAAACACUAUUAUAAUAAAUAACAGUAUUUUUUAAGCUCAUUUUAUAACUAUCCUAGAUGAAAUUUUAACUUCAUCCUUUAAAAUUACAAUAUCAAUUUUUUACGAUAUUUACAUUAAAAAGAAAUACAUUUUGGAAGUAAAGGAGGUACACACAAAAACCGAGGACAGUCGUAAUCAUCUCUGCACUUUUGGCCCCGCAUUUCUGUAGUAUAAAAAAAACAAAUAUAUUACUAAAAAUGGUGAAUUAUUUUGUAUAUGAUAAACAUGAAAAUUCAAAAGGAUACAAGAAUUUGUUUACCUGUAAUGUUAGCUACAACAACAAAUAAAGAAAUAGAUAGGAUUAAUAAAUAAACAAACUUAAUAAUUUCACCCAUAUGUUUUGUUUGAAUAAACUUGCAACAAAAUAAAAAUGUAUUGAUAACUUUAUCUUGUAAUAUGUAUUGUUUAUUUGUUUCAACCUUUUGCACUUCUGGCUCUUCAAGAAAACUUCUUAGAGUUAGAGUCGUUUUUAAAUGUUUCAUUUUUCAUGUUUGCCUGUUUAGCUUGCUCAAUCGAUAAGGGCAACAACAAUUCAUUAUUUUCCUUUUUUAAUGUCUAGCCUUUUAUGAUAUAUGGGGAAAAAAAAAGAAAAACAUCAAAUUAAAUAAAAAUAGAAAAAACACAAGAAAAAAUAGUUCAAUUGUUUUUUUCUUAAAAAAAACCAAAUUUUCUAAAACAUAUGUUACCAUAUUAAAGUAGACAUUAUAAGUUAAGUAUUGCGGCUUGAUUUGAUUUGGUUUUCUAAAAUGAAAAUCGCAAACAAAACCGCGCGGUUUAGAAGAAAAAACUAAAUGCG